UAUGAAAAGCUCUAUUUUGUGACUUAUUAUUUGAGUAUAAAACACAAAUAAAUCAUCAUUUGAUUUGAUUCAAUAAGACCGUUAGCUAAUGCACUAUGCGUGUCUUAGGAUAUUCAUCUCAUGUUCGUACAUGAAAAUAUUGCAUUUAACUCAACCAUAGCUUAAUGGUAAGAACAUUUACUUAUGGAUGAGUGACCUCAAAUUCAAACUCCAAAGACACUUCCCCUAACCCCUUCUAAACUUUGGCAUUUUUUUAUAUAUAAAAAAACUCAUAGAUAUUGAUAGUAAGG
This 290-nucleotide long non-coding RNA is filed under the name Prunus persica (peach). RNAcentral describes it as "long non-coding RNA (PPER_LNC002010)". Lineage: Eukaryota; Viridiplantae; Streptophyta; Magnoliopsida; Rosales; Rosaceae. The record is from RNAcentral.